RNAcentral lists this long non-coding RNA (861 nucleotides) under Daucus carota (carrot). Its description in RNAcentral is "long non-coding RNA (DCAR_LNC000445)". The record is from RNAcentral. Lineage: Eukaryota; Viridiplantae; Streptophyta; Magnoliopsida; Apiales; Apiaceae.
UGGGAUUCUGUAGACCGACAAGGGCAGAGAAGAUCUCGCUUAUGUUCUCAAGAAUAUCCAAGUGCAGACAAGUGAUCUCAGAAAUACUAGAUCAAAGUGUAUUUGGAGGACCGACUAAAGUGCAAAAGCUAAGAGUAGAUUUCUAGAUAAAAGCUGAAAAAUGUAGAUAAAGCUUAAUAUUUUUGUUGGUGACACUAGCAUUGCAAUCUUCUCCAAAAUAGAAGGGAAAGAUGCAAGAUUUGAAGAUCUAUGCCUAAUAAUAUAUAUCAACAAGCUAAACUUUUCCAUAGAUUUUCCCAAAGACAUAUGUGGUUCAAAAAGGUUAGCAAAAAGUCUACAACUUUGUAUUUGGCAGGUUUUAGUAAGCCUGCAAUGAUGCAAACUGCAUUUUAAGUAACGGGCAAUUCUUUUCUGGGCACCGACAUCCAAAUCAGUUCAAAAGUACAACCAAUAGUCACUGGUCAGUAGGAAAUAAACAUCAAGAACAGCUGGAACAAAAUGAAGAAUGAUAACAAUAACUAAAAAAAUUAGGGACCAGAAGGCAGAUCAUCUCCAACGGAAUCAACAGCAUGGCUAGUACUCAUAGUUCUUGUAUCCCUAUCAAUCUCUGUCUUGAUCUUAGUCUGAUGAGCAGGCUGACUUUGUAUAACGCCUCUUCCAUUAUCUGUAAAGGACUUGACUAGGUGAAACUUGCCAGGUUGGGGUUGUGACAAGUUCAGUUGUUCAAUAUAGUUCAAACGGUUGACCAGCCAUUUCACAUUGUAAGGUCUUUGCAAAUCAGAAAUUAGAGCUCUGUACUCCGCUAUCAUCUCAGUAUCAACCUCAGUCAGAGAAGUUUCAAUAAAGGUUUUCACUGUGGUG